UGGAGGGGGCGGGCGUGUGUGAGAUUUACAUGUGAUGAUUUGGGAGAUCUCACUGCUUUAGAGGCUUGUGAGGCGCCACAGUGCCAACUGCUCCUGCCACUGCCUCACCGCGUUUGGCAAUGCCUGCCCCACACAGACUUUUGUUUUUUUCCAGAACUGCUUUCCAAAUGGUGACUUCUGCCCUCAGCUUCUGCUGCUGUGAUUUAUUCUGGGUGUGGGUGUGGGAUCUGCCAGGCCCUCAGCAACCUGCUGCCCUGGCUGCCCAUGCCCUGCCCAGCUCUGGACAGGCAGGCAGGGGAGCAGUGCACAUUUCCACUGCUGCUGGGGACCAUGCACGCCCUUGAGGACAGCCACAUACCCUGCAAGUGCAGCGAUCCUCCAAGCCCAGGCCCAAACAGGGGACUGGCAGCAAGAUGUUCAUGUCUUUUCCUCCCGCUCUGGGGACAGUAGUUUUUCUCCCUGGGCAAUGGGGCGUCUUCGGUGCAUUGCCCUUCCCCAACCGCUCCCCUGCUUCCCGUCAGCAAAUGCAGAAAUUACAUUCAGAUCGGUGAAUCCCGAUACCAAGGUGCUCCUCUUCCAGGAACCCUUUCCCCAAUGUGUGUGGCUGUGUGACGUCGCGGAGAGAGGCCGUGACGCCAGGCACCCGUGACAGCGGGGUGCGGGGAUGGGGGCGAGCCCCAGGAAGGACACCACGGUGGCUGAGCCCUGAGGGGCGGCGGGGGGCGGCGGGGGGCGGGGGGUCCUCGGGCCGCAGCAGGAACCUGCCCCCUCCGUCCCCACCGCUCCAGCGCCAAGCCAGUGGAGAACCGCGUACCCCUCCGCGGUGGCCUCUGCAGCCGGGGAAGACGGGAGGGCACGAGGCCAAGAUGAUGGUAGGGGGCGGGGGGAUACAAGUGGUAGCGGAAUGCAGACUCAGGUCCUUUGGGGUCACGCUUGCCGGGACAAGGACGGGGACAGAGCGGUGCCAUGGAUAGCGUGGAGUCGCGGGUGGUGCCUGCACGAGGGAUCCGCGCCGCGCACGUCCCGCCGGGCCCGCAGGCGCAGACGGCUGCUCCCGUUCACCCGCGGCGGUCAAAUAACGUCUGAAUUACAUCCUUGUAAAUAUUGA
Corvus hawaiiensis (hawaiian crow) is the source of this 1108-nucleotide long non-coding RNA. RefSeq lists it as uncharacterized. The transcript has 2 exons. The record is from RefSeq and is a predicted model, not a curated record. NCBI's taxonomy places the organism in Eukaryota, Metazoa, Chordata, Aves, Passeriformes, Corvidae.